Molecule: long non-coding RNA, 15078 nt
Filed under: Nicotiana benthamiana
Lineage: Eukaryota; Viridiplantae; Streptophyta; Magnoliopsida; Solanales; Solanaceae
Description: long non-coding RNA (NBEN_LNC012593)
Source: RNAcentral
CUUAUUGUGUUGUACCGAUAUUUCAAAUUUGGAACCAAUUUUCCUUCAGAUGUUCGAACUCUUUGUUUUUUGUUCCUUAAACAUUAUCUUCAUUACGAUCUAAUCCUCGAUUCAUUAUUUAGGGGUAUGGCAGCUUUCCGGCUCUAGGCGUGAACUCCGCAAGCAUGUCAUGUUAUUGAACCCUGCAUUUGAAAGAACUAAUGAUAAAACACGAUCAAGAAAAGAGACAUUCCUUGAAAAUGAAAUAUUAAUUUGAUUUUUGAUUUUUUGAUUUUUACUUUUUUUCAAUUUUUUAGGAUAGAGGGGUUUACAAUGGAAACUAAAUAAAACAUCCGAGUUACAGCCUGAAAUAACUGAAGAUGCAGAAAAAGUGGUAGGAAUGGACUAUCGGGAUUCCUGCGUGAUGCGUGUUUAGUAAUGGAGUAGCCUUUCAAUUUUGCAGUUUGGCUCUGGGUUCCAUGUAAGCAUAUCAGCGGUGCUUGAGCCUUCUCUCAGCUAAACCAUGUGGGCUUCAAACAACAUCUGUCUCAUAGCCCCACAUAUUUCUUCAAUUUCCUCGACCGUAAAGGCCUCAUCUUCGUCUUCCUUUUUGUAAUUGGGCUUGACAAAUGUCCUAUAGACAUGUGGAAAUUGCUGAGGCAAGACCCAACCGUUGUUCUUGCUUUCAUCCGCCCAUUUUUCAUCAGCUAUUGUGGCUUGGAAGCCCACACCAAAACGUUUCUUGAUUUCUUGUAUGGUGACCAGUUUCGUGAUACCUUGUAGCGAUGCCUCGACUCCCUUCCUAUGCUUGUAACCAUGUUUAAUUAAUUCAUUAGUGACCAUGGUUGAUGCAUUUGACAUAAAAGGCCUAGAACAAGGGAUUCCCUCCUCAUAUUGGUUAGUGACUACCACUUCAAAAGCUUGAUAAACAUAUGCUUACUACAUUCUCUAGCAUCGAGAUACGGGAUUGAUAGGUCCCGGUAAAUCGACUGCUUAUCUUCCCAGUGAACUAAAAUCUCUAUAUCUUCAUUUUUCACUUUUACCAUCUAGGGGAGAGUUGAAGGCGUAGCACCUGCUGCGUGAAUCCACAUCCUUCCUAAGAGGAAAUUAUAGGAAGUAUCCAUGUCCAAAACCUAUAAGGUCACUUCGUAGUCCACCGAGACGAUAGCAAGAAUAAGAUCAAUCUCACGUAUUGUAUCUAUCUUUAUGCCGUCAAAGGCACACACAAAGACAUUGUUAGGUCCGAUUCUCUUUUUACCGAUUUCCGUACGUUGUAGAGCUUAGAGUGGGCAAAUAUCUACCCUAGAACCACCAUCUAACAUGACCCUUUUCACAUAAUACCCUUCAUAUUUAACUGUGAAGUGAAGGGCUUUGUUGUGUGCGGCCCCUUCCGGGGUAAAUCACUCUUGCUAAAAGAGAUUUGAUUAAGUGCAAAAUACCUAUUUGCUAUCCUCUCCAAUUGUUGUAUUGUUGUUGCAAUGGGUACAUAUUCUUCAUUAAGAGUUUUGAUAAUCACCUUUUAAUGUUCAGUUGUGUUCAUUAGCAGAGACAACAGAGAGACUUGAGUAGGGGACAUUUGGAGUUAGUUGAUUAUCUCGUAGUCUACCAUUUUCAUUUUCUGGAAGAACGUUUCUGCUUCUUCAUCACUAACUGGCUUCUUAGGUGGGAAACACUUCUUUCUGGAAUUAUACACUUACACUAGAUUGAGGUACUUCUUAGCCGAUUUAUUUUACUUAACUUCUCCUGAGGUCUCUUUACCUUUAUAAGUUACUACCAUUUUGUUGUAGUUCUGUGAAAUGGCAGUGGGAUCUGUCAUGGGCCUUUGUGGUGCACGGCCAAUAACUACGGGCUCAAUUAGACUUGGUGGAAUUAUUGGCCCCUGUAUACCGUAGCUCCCCUUGGGCACAUACAUUUUAGCUCCCUUGUGUAUCUCAAACCUUCUAGGAGGACUCAAUUACAUCUGUUCUUUCUUGUAGCCUCGAGGAACAUACAUAACGACAUCUUUAGAAGGUGCUGCACAAGUUUCGGCUUCCAUUUUCUUUUAGAUCUUAAAAAGGAUAGUUUUAUUCUAUCUUUCCUCCUUGUCUUGUUUUGCGAUAGAUUUUGGCUUCUUUUCUACAUCAGCUAUGGCAAAGAUGGAUUUUAGGGAUGGUAAAAUUCUCUGUCAUCGAAGAUCAUUCCAAUAAUUAGCCCGUUGUUGUGGGCCGGUAAUUGAUUAUUGGUUACAUUUGGAACAUCUUCAUCCUUUAGCACUAUUCUCUUUUGUUCUAUCAGUUUUUCCACAACCCUCUUCUAGGUCCAGUAGUCAUUUGUAUCACGCCCUUCUUCCCCUGAAUAGUAAGCACAUCGAGUACAGGCUCUGUAAGGGGCCGACGUUGGAUUCUGCCUGGUUUGGGUUAUUGGCUACAACAAACCCAUCUGAACACGUUUGGGGAAAAAGAUGGAAUGUGACUCCCUAAUAGGUAUUUAUUUGCGCAUCCUGGGUGGUUCGAGGGAACAAAAGUUGUUCUGUGGGGGUCGGGAAUUAUAUUGAGCUUGUGAGGAUGUUGAUUUCUGUGAAAUGGAGCUCAGUUCUGAUUAAAUUGUUGUGGUUGCCUAAUAUAAAGCUGGGCAUUCAUCACUGCUAAUGGCUAAGUAGCCAUAGAGUAGGCCAUAUUUUGAGGGGUCCUUUCUGAGAGAUAGGGUCUAGGUGGAUAGGUUUUUCUUACACUUGAAGUCAUCAUUGCCUAUUCAUUCUUGUUCUCUCAGUUUUCUACGCCUAUAGACCACCCUUGGAUUGCAUGGGAAAUAGCCUUUAUAGCAGACUGACUUAAGAUUCACCCUGUUUUCAAUCCAUUUUAAACCAUUUAACACAGUUAAAUGGCUUUUGCAAAUAGCUUAUCUAUUGAAGACAUCAUGCUUUUAAUAAUAAUCGGCCUCUUUGGCUUGAAGAAAGACACUAACAAUCUCUAUUUUUUCGAUUGGAGGCUUAACUCUGGAAGCUUGCUCUCUCCAUUUGACAUCAUACUGUCGGACGCUUUUCGAAGACUUCUUCAACAUUUGAUAAUGAAUUCCUGUCAGGGGUAAUGUCGAAGUUGUAUUGAAACUGCCUGAAAAAGUCCUCAGCCAGGCCAUCCCAGAUGUGCCACCUAUAUAUAUCCUGGUCCAUGUAUCAUUCAGAAGCAAUACCGACCAGGUAAAUAAGCCAUGAGGAGAUCUUCUUUUUAACCUGUUCCCCGUAAUUGGUGGCAAUAUCUCUUGAGGUGGUCUAUGGGAUCACGAUGCCUGUCAUACUUUUAAAACUUUGGUGUUUUGAAACCCAAAAGUAUAUGCACCUGUGGGAGCAUACAUAGGUCGACGUAGAAUAUUCUCUUUUGCCCGCUCAAGCCCUGUAUAUUGUUUUGACUCGGAUCCAUGCUUAUCAUAUUUUUGGUAAUCUCCUCUUAUUCAGGGCGUGGUUUUAUCCGGUCACCCGAUAAACACGUACCGAGGCAGCUGAGGAUAAGUACUUGUAGUAAACUGGGUUGGUUCCAUUGGGAAAGAUGGUGUUUGAAAGUUGAAGGAAAAUGUAUCGAAGCUAGGCCUAGGUACAACAAGUUGUGCGAUUGCUGAACAAGGUGGUGCAGUGAAUAUGUUUCAAGCUGCAUCGGAAGUUAACACCAGGGGAAAGUCUCAGAAGGUGUUCCUACAAAGUGGGCUGAAAUGGUAGGAUAUAUUAGUGGGGUAUUUGGAUAGCUUAUGGGGACAUUGGUGGUUCCACUCGCUCGGCGAAGUAAAUAAGGGGAAUCCUGGUAUCACGCUUGGAGAUUCUCUACCGUUGGCCCAGGCGUCUAACAUUUCCAUCAUGUGGAGACGCAAAAUUGAUUUUUCCUCAGUAGUUGCUGACUCAGAAGUUAGGAUAGUCAAGAUCGGGCUGUCCUCCGAAAUAGGGACCGUUAGCAGAUGACUUUCAGAAGAUAUUUCGAUGCUUCCUUUCGAGCUUGUAAAGUAUGGAUAUGAAGACAGACUACAAAAAAACCAACCACCUUGUCAGUUUGAAGCAAUUAACACAUGGGGAAUCACAUGUUGGGGUGUGAUGCACUAAUAUGUUUCUACAUGUUUUGCAACAGUUGUUUGUUUCAUCCCGACUUUGCUUACUUUCCCCAAUUUUCUUUUUUUUCCAACUUUGGCUUUUGUGCUUCAAUUACCAUUUUCCGCUCUUUUAUCUCCUCCUCUUUCUUUACCUUUGUUUUGUUUUUCUUUUGAUUUUUCUUUGGCUCUCUUUUCUUUCUUGUUGGGUUUCUUUCGUUUCUUUCUUUUCACAUCCCUCUCUUAUUUGAGUUAUUUACAAAAAAUCAUGACCGUAUCUGAUGAGGAUUUCCUAUGUAUCAUGAUGCUACAUGAAUUAGAUCAUUAUGUAGUUCAGGAAAAUAAAUGCGGAAAACAAUUAUUUGGGAAUUUUAAAUUUUCAUUUAUAAAAGCUCCUAAACAUUUCUUUUACAAAAGACGUAGAACUACUCAUUUUCUUGAAAAUUAAAAACUACGAAUAGGCGCAAAAUACACUUUAAUGUAAAAAUUGAAACACAUACUCAAUAAAGGAAAAAUCAUGAAUACAUCAAUGCUUCAACUCCUGGGGCUCGUAGAAAAUCAUUCGGUCUUGCCACGGGCAAACAUGCAAGAUCCUCUUGGAUCCACUACAAAUCACUCAUUAUCUGGUGGACAAAUAUCAUUACCGCAGUGAAGAAACUGGUUUGAGUCAUAACCUUACAUGCUUAGCAUUUAAUGACGAUGUAGUCAACAAUGGCCCUAACCGUCUCUUUGGCAAUACCCUUUUCCUGAAGUAAGCGCCCGGUUUGGUGAUUCUGUGCUUCUAACACCCUAGUAUCAUGAUGGCUCUGAUUCUGAAAAUGCUGCAUGUUUUCCUCUAUCUGAGCAAUCAAAGCAUAACAAUGUUCCCUAUCGGCUUUAAAAUUAUUGGCAUGUUUGUCCGCCUCAAUUACAAGGGGGUUCAACUCUCUCUUCAGAUUGGUGAUUGUCCCCUAAUAUUUUCUUUUCAUUGGUUGCACAAAUUGUGCCCGCCCUUUUGCUUUCUUUGCCGAUUGUGCUCAGACUCUUGCUAGACUGGACUCAAAUUUCUCUAUGUCAUCAUGACGCUCGAGCACUUUCCUUCUCAGACCACAUAUAAGCCUUUCAUCAGCUCGGCUUCUCUCCAGGUUUCUAGCAACCAUCUCAUUUUCUUGAUCUGAGAUUUGAGGGCUUCGUUUUCCUAAGCUAGCUUCUUCUUCUUGCCCACAUCUGCAACGACUUGCACAUUACUUGAGAACUUGAGGUCUUUGAUAUGUCCUUCAAGACUACUUAUGGUGGCCCGAUAUUUAUUUUCUUUUGCAAACCACUCACAAACUCAACUUCCCUUUUCUAUCAAGCAAGGUAACCGUGUGAGAGUUUACCUCGAGAUAAAUCACGUACUCGCGUAUUUGCUGAUAGACAUUGGCAUUAACUCAAAAUCUAGCGAACUACUUUUUUAUGAAACUGUUCAUCAAGAUGGAUCCGACCACAUGGCGACUAAGGUCUUAAUUAUUGGGCACUAUUUGAGAUCUCCCUAACUAUCUCAAAAUCCAGUAUAGGGAAUAAGGCUGAAUAUUUCUGAGACCCAUUAGGAGGAAGUGAGGCUUGGCAGCCGUCAUGUAUAUGAUUUUAUCCACAGGAAGCUACCCAAACGUCCAAUUUAUUUAAUUUGUAGUGAUAGAGCGGAGACUUGAUGUCCAUUUUGUAACCCCUUCUGGCAUGCUAAACCCGUCGACCCGUGUAUAAAACUCCUCUAUGCAACCUUUCCUUGUCAACACACAGUUCAAGUAUUGAGGACAAUGAUAAAGAUGUUCAAUAAUCGACAUUUGGAGCAACAAGUUGCACCUUUCGAAAAAGUCUCCUCCGGCUUUGUAGACUGUGAGAGCUAAAAAGACCUCAGACUCUAUCAUGGGUGCGAGGUGAUUUUGGCCGGAGUAAGAAAAAUGCUAACAACACCAACUAUCCAAAUAUCCGUAUUCCCAUCUUUCCUGGGAAACACUAUAAGACCCCAAAAAUACCACCAUAAAAGCAAAGAACUGUGUUUUUCCCAUUUUAGGUGAUUCCCUUUGCUAUAAAUUUUAUUUUCUGCAUUGUUUUAUUCCUCUAUAUGUUUGUAUCGCUGGUAUAUAAACUGCAGAGUCAAAAAGCCAGCUGGCAAAUCUGGGAUAUUGACCCCCUUCUUAUCUUUAGGAAAUCUAGAAACUUGUGUGCAACAACAACUCUUGGAGCAGUCAAAUACUUGUGUCAAGAGGAAAUUCAUUGCUCCGAAUAUAUCUUGCUAUUUCUUCAAACGUGGGUGUUAGUUCAAUGUUCGAGAAGUGAAAUAUGUUGUGAGUCGGGUCCCAAAAUUGUAGUGCUCUUAUUUUGUCUCGUAUAGGCAUGAUCUUCAAAAACUCGGUGAGACCUCCCAAGUACAGUUCGACCAUAUCUUGUCCUAGUUCACCUAGAUCUUCCCACCACAUAUAAAACUCCAAAGGAAUCUUUGUCAUCACUGUAAUUGGCAAAUUUUGACUCGUGCUCAUUCUACACAUUUAAAUUAGUGUGGUUUAAUUAAUAAAGGUUAUGACUAAUUUUGACUCAAGAAAAAGCUAACACUAUAUAUAUUUUUUUUCAAAAUGUUUACAAAAAAUCCACCAUUGUAAAUACGGCCUUUCAGCACUUCAGGGAAGAAGAUUUUAAGGUUGUGUUUGCUAUCCGGCUAAAACAUUUGGAAAGGCGACUAAAAGUGGUUGUUCUUGCAAAAACGACCUUCCUGGUGCCUUUUAGGGGACAUUCAGCUAUUUUUGAGAAGAAUGACAUCAUCUUACUUAAUUGCAAUAAAAACAAUAAAUUUUUUUGUUCUUUUUGGGAUACUUUUGAGAAAUGGAAGUUGGACCAGUUGGGUUUGUCUACGUAUCCACAUCUUCUAAAAAUCCAAUUAACGUAGAUCGGGAAGCUUUGAGAAAAAUAAAAUAGGAAAAGAAAUGAACUUUUGAAUCUAAACUCCUCCUUUUUUUUAUUGAAAAUUUCGGCAAUGUUUCGGCUUAUUUUGGACAUCGGAUCUUUUCUUUUUCAAAAAUAGACAUUUAUCUCUCUGUAGCUCUAACAUUGACUUUCUUUAACCUUAUAUUUUCUCCUAUUAUUCAAUAAGCCGGUCAACAUGCAAAUCUGAAGUAAAUGAAUGCACAAGUAGAAAAUAGGAGGCAUCAAGAUGGUCUUUUUAUUUGUGGUACACUUGUCCUAGACAGACCCAACCCCUAUGUUGAGUCUCCAGAGUCAAAUGGAUAUGAUGUAAACAAACGUAUCCUAUUAGAGAUCCGGUAAGAGGAUGAGUUAUUCUAAGUUAAAAAAACCUAGCUAUAUUGUUGUAAACUUUUGUAACUGAGCGGAUAACUCAGACCGAGGAGGAGGCUACCGGGAUUCAAAAGGUCAUUCGACUUUGUAACUUGUCUGAGAUUCUUUCUUAUUUCAAGGUAUGAAACUAACAGAAAGAGGAGUCACACUAGCGUGCACAUCGCCGAAGAUGAGGAGAGAAGGGUUCCGUAACUGUUUUUACACAGUUCAAAUAAUAUCAAAGCGGCAAAAGCGUUAUUUAGAAUAUUAUGCUCAAACAUGCAAUAAAAUCAGAUAAUAAAUAAAAGUCAUUUAUAAAACGUAUUCUAAGCUCGAAUUCUUAACCCUGAACCGAAGUUCUGGGUUUGGAUCACCAGCAGACACCCAAAGGUGAUAUAAGGGAGUUUUCCUAAUUUAAGUGACAUUAUUCAAAAUGGGAUUAUUCAUUAAAUUUUAUUAGAAUCGCCACUAGGGAUGGUUUGUUUUGUUGUGUCCCAAGUUACCGGUUUAUAAUAAAAUCCUAAAUUGAGGAAAAUUUGACUUUCCUUUUAAUGUCUGCGAACCAGAAAUUUUGAAUAAGGAAUUAUGUUAACUCAAGGGAAGGUGUUAGGCUCCCCCGGAUUUCGUGGUUCUAGCAUGGUCGCUUAAACUAUCAUAAUUUGCCUAUUACCUGAUUUUAAUACAUGUUUUAGCCUAUGGUUCAAUUUCAACCUUUCUAACUACUUUUACUUAAUUUUUAGGAAAGAUUCAACGUCAUAUAAAAUACGUCUUUAACCAUGUCACAUAAAUGCACCCGUCGUCCACAACACAUUUUAUCUAACGUUGUUGAGAUUUGGAUUUGGGUCACAUAAAUGAACAUGCGAGCUUAGGAAAGUAAUUUUUUUAACAGUGUGACUAAAGCAACUACACUCUUUCAUAUUUGCGAAGGCAAUGGAAAAUUCGACUAUAUGGCACACCUAGAUUUCAAAAUAUUAAAAUUAAGUAAAUGAGGGCCAUGCUUUAGGAGAUUUUAUUUUGUACAACACCCCUCGAUUCCAAUUUUAAAAGUCUAGUUAAUAAAGGAAACAACUCUAGGGAAUUCUAUUUAUGUUUUUUUACUAAGUGUUUGAAGCUAUUUAUCAAUUAACAUGCAUCGUGACUAAGUAUAUCAAUCACCUAAGAACAAUUGUUCCGCACCAAGGCAACAUGAAUGAGACAAAAGAAAUUGGUCUUUGACGAUAUAAAAUGGGGCUAAAUAGCAUAAGGCAGACAAUCCUAUUUGCAGAUUCCUUCAGGCUUGAGCCCAAAAUGAUCACAGUUCUCAGUGGAAGAAAGAAAGUCCAAUACAUAGAACAUGCAGCUGAAUCUGAAGAUAAAUCUCCAUCAAUUGGGCCAACAUUUAGCUAGAUCUUCCAAACCAAACAUUUGUACACCUAACAAGCUAACCCGAGAAGAGAUUCUCUCUCAAAACUCUCUGCCUUCUAUCUAGGAAGAAGGGUAAAUUCUGAUCCCGUCACUAUUCAUCGGGCAUAUCAUCGAAAUCCGGGAAAGUAAGGUCACAAAUUAGCUGUCAAACGAACACCAUACGGAUUUUGAACAACCCACAUCUGAUUUCUUCCUAAAAUCUUUAGCCAAUCGCAUCAGAUCUUUGAUUUUGUCAUUCGAGUUACUGUAGCAUCGUGUUAAUUGGGCAGAUUUCUACAUUGCUCUUUGUUUUCAUUCUGUUUUUCUUUCUUUUUGAUGGAGUAUUGAAGAACUAUGGAUGCAUCGUCCUCUCCCCAGCCUUUGGCUGUGGGAGAGAUGAUCUCAAAUUAUAACUCAAAACAAACGUAUGCUGAUCAAUUGAUGCAACAGAAGGCUGCAACUACUUUGAAUAAAAAGUUGUUGAAACCAAUUAAAAUAAUUCACGGAGUCCCAACAAUCAAUUUUUCAAUGGAGAAAAGGAUGGAUUUCGCAAAAGUGGAACGUUUACAUCAAGCCAUUGUAGUGAAGCUCUCUUCAAAUGCACCAGAUUUAAUAGUCUUAUAAAAUGUACUGCCGAAAUUUUUCGGCAUCAAAGGACAAUGUCUGAUCGGUCAAACAGCACCUCGACAAUUGCUUAUUAGGGUGGAUGAACAUGAAGAUUCUGUUAAUUAACUUGCUAGGUCAGAUAACAACUUCGAAUGCAAUGAUAAUGAGCAUCAAAUCCGAAUUUUCUCAUGGUCCCUUGAUUAUAAGGUCAAUGAAGAAACCAUGAAGGCAGUGGUCUGGAUUUCCUUACCAAAUUCUCCGGCGGAGGUGUUUGCAAUGAAGGAUUUGUUGUCUAUAGCUUCAGUUGUUGGUAAGCCUAUAGCUUUUGACAAAGCUACCCAGACUAAGUCGCAUCCUAGUACUGCAAGAGUCAAAGUGAUUAUUGAUUUAAUGGACAAAUUACGCGAGAAGGUGCGUUUGCAUUUUAUGGAUAAGUAGAUGGGCAAGAGUGUUGAGUACUUUCAAGAGUUUGUUAAUAACAAGUUACCUUUGUAUUGUCACUGUUGUAAACAUCAAGGAAAUGAUGAAACAUCAUGUCACAGAUUAAACAAAAAUACAACAAGGAAUGUGCAAGGUAUUGAAGAAGCUGUUGAUAAUGAUCGUCUACUGCCUGCUGAAGUUUUGGGUUUGUCUGAGGAGAUGAGCAAGGUGGAAAUAUUGCAAGGGGAUGCUAUGGAGCUCAUAAAUGCAAAGAGGGCUGCCCAGAAUUUUGUAGUUGCUUCAGUGGAAGUCCAAAGUAAUGAGCAGCAAUGUGGAGGCUACUGUUGCAUUGAAGCGAGCUGUGGAUCGAGAAGCUGCUGGGAUUGAUGAACUUAAAGCUAAUCGACCAACCAACGCCAAUCUUACUGCAUUGAGUACCAAUCGUGCCUCCACAUUAUCAGUUAAGGAAUUACAAGAAAAUGAUGUUAAGCAACAACAUAUAUUGAAUGUGCAGGCUUAAGGAGAGCAAAUGGCUGCUACUGUCAGUGAAGGUGUUGGUGUUCUUAAGGCUAGUUCAAGCAAGCUUGUGCAGCCUACGGAUGGUGCUUUACAAAUUGGGAAUUCAAUUUCGGAUGAUCCUAAUUAUGGAAGUGCAGCUGGUAUAAAGGUUUCAAAUGAUCGAAAUGCUGCUGGGAUGGCUAAUACUAAUACCGAUCGAGAAACCAAGGCCAAAAAUAAUGCGACAGAUAUAGCAGUAGAAAUGUUGUUGCUGUAUGUUCCAACGUGGAGUCUACUAUUGCAUUGACCACCUCUGGUAAUCAACAUAUGGGUGUGGCUCCUAUAACUACUGAUGCAUUUGUGAAUUUGUUUGAAAACCCAAUUUAUAGGGCUGGCCAACAGGAAAACACUGGAACUGCUCAAAUGCAGGAGGAGGUGUUGAAUCAAGGAAACAUUAGUCAUAACCAUUUAUAGUAGUGCAUUUGUGAAUUUGUUUGAAAACCCAAUUUAUAAGGCUGGCCAACAGGAAAACACUGGAACUACUCAAAUGCAGGAGGAGGUGAUGAAUCAAGGAAUCAUUAGUCAUAACUAUUUAAAAGUAGCACGGACAUGACAUAUUGAUGAAGGUACAAAGCUGGAGAAAACAGGUGUUGAACUUGUUGCUACACUAUUUGAUCCAGUGGAAAAAUCAGCAGGAGCAGCUGGACAAAUUACAAAGGAAGUCGGGAAAAAACAAAACGUGGCUAAAGUUUGGUUAGUUGUAUCACCUAGUAAAAGGGAUGCUAAUGAUUCCAAUAAAUAGGAAUUUACAUCACAUAAUAUUAGGUGCACAAAUGCUUUUGAAGCCUUGACCAUUGAACAUGAAGAUGGAGAGAAUGAUGCUGCUUAAAAAUGCGAACAUGUGUUUGAAGAUUCAGACUCAAAAUCUGGAAAAUACAGCUAUCCAACAAAUGUAAAACAAAAGCAAAGUACUUCAAAAACUACAGCUCUAGUAAAGAAACAUGCUAAUGGCCAACCUCAAGCUUCAGGCAGGCAAUAUUCCAAGAACACAUAUGGUCAACAAAUUGUUUCGAAGGCCAUUAUUCCUAUUGUUUCCCAAACAAAUGAGGCGAUCAGCUCCAAUACACCUAAAAUGUAAAUUUCCAAUCGUCACAUCCAACAAAUCAUCAACAACACACAAAAGGCAAGGAUGAUGAAUUCAUCUAUGGUGAAACAACUCACCUUGAUGACUUCGGUGUUUGAAAUCCCUUCACAAUCAAUUGAAUCCAGUGGCCAGUUUGAAGGUGCAGCUGGGCAUCUUACUCUCUCAACUGGAAACUAUGAUGAACUUAUACAACAAAAGGUGAUCAAAUCAAAAUUUUGGUUACAACGACGUGAAGAGGAUGACGAAGAAGAUAAUGAUAUUAUCAAAGAAAAUGUGAGGGAGCCAGCAAUAAAUUAAAAGAUAUGGGUUCAACAACGUGAAUACGAUGAUGAAGAAGAUUUUGGAAUUAAUUUUGUAGAUGACUCUUCAGACGAUGGUGAGAAAUGUAGUGGCGAUGAAAAGAUAACAUUAGUAGUGUUUCCAAUUCCAAAAGGAGGUAGCUAUGCUAAGAUAGGAUCUGGAAGCAGGCUCAAUUCAACAACUCAGAUUUAUCCGCUAGCUCAAGGCAGCAACAUGGAGAAAUAACCACAAGUAAAACGAGGUUGAUAGGAGAGGCAGUAGCAAUUCUGGGCAACAGCAGCAGUUCACUUCAUCUGUUUCUACUGCUGAACGUGGGCAGCAGCAGGUGAAUGAAAAUAUCACUCACAACGGCUCUAAUAAGUGUACCAACAAUCACUUUAGAUGACAGAAUGUUACUUGAUGCGUUGGUAAAUCCCGCACCUUUCGAAAACUUAAGUGUAACUAAUGUUGCUAGCAAUGGAAGAACAACCAACACCAAUAACAAAAAUCAAAGAAAUGCAGUCUUUGUCACUAAAGAGGAUAACACUUUGGUAUCACAAGAUUUUCCUCAAGAAAUUCCAAAACCUAUAAAUUUAGGCAGAGAUGUUUAUGAAGAAAGUGAGGAACAUAUUACUCUAAAUCAACUCCGGGCAGCGGCAGCGAGGAAAGGCGAUUUGUCGCCAUUUCAUAGCGGAAAAAAUAGGAAAUCUAGAACAAGGGAUAGAAGCUGGGAUGGCAGGCAACAUAGCUACGAUUGAAAAGCAACACAAGAUGUUGCCCUUAAGAAACCACCAAUGAGAAAUGCAAAGCAAAAGGCGAGUGUACCUACCACUUCCGCAAGGUCAAAUAAAUCCAAAAAGAAAUGACAAAGUUUGAAGAUUAUUUGAAAAAAGCGGAAGAAGAAGCAAAAGAGCUACAAAUUGGAGAAUGCACAAGUUUAAACAAAGAAGACACAGACUCAAUUUGUUACAUUGUAUUAUUUUACCAUUUGUUAAGUAUUAUCAUCUAUAAUAUCAUCAGAGAGUAUGCUAUAAACUCUAUGAUAAUCACUGAACAUUUAGUCUUAGCAAUUUCUUUCUUUUUGCAUGAUUGCUAGUGAGGUUAAUUUAUGCCUCGAGAGGAUUAGUACAAUAAGGGUAGCCCGGUUGCGUUAUAUAGGUAACAAUACUGGUGCUUUUGUACCCCUUAUUUGUAUUUUUUCUAUUUGUUGUAUUUUCUUACUGUUUUAUGUUAUUAAUAUAAAAACCAACCGUAGGCACUUUCCUAGUGGAAUAAAAAAAAACAUUUGUACAAAACCAUUUAAAUACCAAUCAAAUAAGACUAUGCAUAACAGAAAAUUGAGCUAACAUUUUAUUUCUGAAAAUUUUAACUAGUGAAACAAAAAUCAACUAACUAAUCAUUCUGCAUUAUAGACAUCAAUUCGAACUUAAAAAGUUCUUAUAAACAAACAUGUGCAAAUCAAUGCAUGCCUUUGCUCUUAAAUCAACCUUGACAAUUUUAGUUUUCUCGUCACAUGAUUUUACAUUAAUUACUUCUCAAGCGGGUUAAGCUCAAUUGAAUUCUUAUUAAUAGUAACAGUAACAAACCUAGGAUAUUAACAUCCAAUUUACUUGAAGUCCAGAAAUCACACUAAAAUUCUUAACAUAGUUCAUGGGCGUUUAACACUAAAUAAGAAUCAGAUGCAAAGUACAGAAUAUUAUUUUUAACCAUAAUACAUGGAUAUAUCUUGUCUCUUCAAAAGAACAACUAUAACACGCACAUACACUCUUAAUCAAGCUGAUCCCAAAUAAGAGUGCCCCAUUUUAUCUUAUGUACAUGUUAAAUGGCUCAUCCACAAGGCUUAUACACACAACUUCUGAGCAUGCUACUCAACAUUUAAACUAAACAUUCACCCUUACUAUCGACCACAGAUUUCAUAAUAUGUAAGUAACAAAAGAGAAAGCCUCGAUAACUUUUAUAAUUCAAAAUCUACUACAGAAUGAUUAAGAAGUAGAAGAAACAGAAGAACUAAGUUCAAAUACAGCGUGUACUCAACCAUUCUUCCACUCCAAAUACAUGCUUACAAUCAACUUUGUUGUCCAUAGUUUGGGAAAUUACUUGGAAAUUGAAAAGGGAACAACAAGGAGUAAGGAGUUAACAAAAAUAGCAGCAGAAUUAGCUUAACCCCAACAAUAGAAUAGUAAUGAAACCAGCUUGCAACCCAAAUUUUAGAGGUCCAAUACUCAAAUUAUUUCGACCCAAAUGAUAGACAUUGUAAUUUUUAAUAGUAUUAACUAAACAACGAGGAUCAUAAACAAAAAACCAAGAAAGAUUUGGGUAGUUUUCAACAAAGAAAUGCAUAAAAUUCGGGGAUAUUUCAGAGUGCCAACCGUUUAUGUUUUUAGGAGUUUUUUUAUCUCUAAAAAUCAGACUUCAACCUAAAGAAAGUAUGCCUUUAUAGGCAAGCUUCUAGGGCUUCAGAAAUGACUAUGUUUUGCACUUUAAACCUUUUUGAGUUUUUAUUUUUAAUCAAAUACCCUUAGUUCAAAAUUUAGUUUUCCAAAAUAACCCCAAUUCCCAGCUUCUUAGAAGUUUCCCAAGUUUGUUAAGAAAGAUCCCCUACCUAUAUUUCAUAAUUUACCCUGUAGGAUCCCUGCUUCCACCUAAAAAAACUAGAUAGAACAUCGUUCAAAUUGACCCGAAACAAUUUGUUAUGGAUCUGUAUAACCCAGGUUGAACCACCUUUUGCACUUUCUGAUUUUUAUUACCCAAGUCAACAUUGAAAGUUCAAAACUCUCAAAUACUCAUUUAAGGAGUGUUAAAGACUCGUGACUUUUGGGCCCAAAUAGGAACAAAAAUUAAAACACCUUCAAACAUAAAACCAGGAAACAAAUACUAACUAAAUAAUCUAAAAUAACAUGCAAACACAAAUGAUUUGAAGAGAUGGAAAAAUGGAGAACAAAAACUCAGAAAAUAAAAGGAAUAAAUAGAAGAAGAUGAGUAGUGAAGUAUAAAAGUAAAAAUUAAAUAACAUAAGAUAAAGAAAUACCUAAGAACUUGUCGUCGAAAGUGAAAAAUCGAAAACAGCUUACAAAUCUUAAAAUUUCUUUUGCAAGUAUGACUUUAAUUGUGUGUUCUUAUCAAGAACAAACGAAGAACAUCAAAGUAAACCUAAUUUCUCACUAAAAUCUUGAUUUUGCGGCUUUUGGGAUUUUACAUUUCAUAAUUUUGAUUCAAGAUUCGAAGAGUUCCGAACUUAUCCGAGGGCAAAGGGUAAUAGAUUUGGUAUGAGGGAGUCAUUGGGGUUGUAUGAUGUUAAUUUGGGCCGGUUUGGGGGUGGCGCCACCAGCUAGAGACUGAGCGAAAUGGGGCCGACACUUUAGGGUUUCUUUUGGUAUCUGAAGAGGGGUGAAGUGAGAGAGUCGAUUAGAGGGGGAUCGGGCAUUUGGACAGUU